UAUAGAUGCACGGGGUGCCGGAAGGCUGAGAUAAAACCCGAAACCUGAUUUGGAUAAUGCCAACGUAGGGAUGCAGAUUUAUGAAUAU
RNAcentral lists this non-coding RNA (88 nucleotides) under Salegentibacter echinorum. RNAcentral's name for it is "TPP sequence". It matches the Rfam family "TPP riboswitch aptamer (THI element)". Rfam says of the family: Vitamin B(1) in its active form thiamin pyrophosphate (TPP) is an essential coenzyme that is synthesised by coupling of pyrimidine and thiazole moieties in bacteria. The previously detected thiamin-regulatory element, thi box was extended, resulting in a new, highly conserved RNA secondary structure, the THI element, which is widely distributed in eubacteria and also occurs in some archaea. The record is from Rfam by way of RNAcentral. Lineage: Bacteria; Pseudomonadati; Bacteroidota; Flavobacteriia; Flavobacteriales; Flavobacteriaceae.